GUGCCUAGUAUAGGAACUCCCUGUCUCAUACUCUCCAAGGGGUGGGGCCCCUUCAUUCUUUUGCUAGGGUGAGGCAGGGACAGUCUCCCAGGGACACCGAAGUUGGAGAGGAGAUGGCAGGGCUCUAAACUUACUCAGAAACAGCUGUCAACCAGUUCUUCUGAUCCGAGCGCUCGGCUUCACCCCACUUCUGGAAGUACCCAGUGCCACCGAUUACUGACCCUUUGAGGAUUCUGUGAUGCUUCAUGCCCAGCGCAGAGCCUAACAGGGGCUUGAAUUCACGACCUUGAGAUCAAGACCUGAGCAAGAGUUGACGCUUAACUGACUGAGCCACCCAGGAGCCCCUCAAAGGUAUUUCUAACUGCAAGUUGUGGUCAAAAAGUUUUGGAAGCCACUGUCCAAGUUAGCCCCCUGGCUCCAUUCUUCCUCUGGCCUGAAGUACAGACUGUUGCCAAAUUAAUCUGAUUAACUCACUGAUUUCCCCAUGCCACUUCCUUGCUCAAAACCUUCAAAUUUCAAAAGCUUAAGCUCAAUGUCAGUCCCUCAGCAUGGCACUCAGAGUACUGACAGUGGGGCCCCAACUGCCAUCAACGAAGCCUCUACCCAAAUCACUACUUGCUAAACCCAAGCUGGUCUCCUGACCAUCCACCCCAAAUACUCUUGAUGCAUUCCGUCUCCACACACCUUUUCCACACUAUUCUUCUAAUGUGGACCCCUCGCCCCCCACUGUAACAAAUCACAUCCUCUGAAAUCUUUCUUGACGAUGCCACACCAACAUUUAUUGGCUGUCAUUCCUAUGAAUCCCGGGCACUUUCCAGACACUGGCUGAAGAUAAGUAUCGAUUCUUACAGCCUUCUGACUGUCCACCAGUAUUAAGUAUCAGCACAGGCCCUAGUACAUUAUAAAUGUUCAAUGAGCAUUAAAUCAACAAAAAUUUUAUUGAGCAUUA
This is a long non-coding RNA of Neofelis nebulosa (Clouded leopard), 949 nucleotides long. RefSeq lists it as uncharacterized. NCBI's taxonomy places the organism in Eukaryota, Metazoa, Chordata, Mammalia, Carnivora, Felidae. The record is from RefSeq and is a predicted model, not a curated record. The transcript has 2 exons.